GACACUGCAUUUUAGUAUUUGAUUUGCUUUGUAGAGUAACGGAUAUACAGAUUUUUCGGUUCGAAUCAAAAGGGAUAACGAAUCGAAUCAAAAUUUAUGAAUAAUUUGUCCAGCUCUAUUCGUAAACUGUACAAAUAACGUAAAGAAAAACCAUGCAUGUGAGUUUUAUAUUAAAAAAACGUAAAGUACAUAGUGUGAACAUGUUUAUGUAGAGUUUGGCAGAAAAGCUCUCUACAUGUGGCAUGUGUUCAUUUUAGUGUGAACGCAUUUUUUACAAUACUUCUACACGUGACAUGUGUCCAGUUUAG
This 308-nucleotide long non-coding RNA is filed under the name Brassica rapa (field mustard). RNAcentral describes it as "long non-coding RNA (BRAP_LNC004384)". Lineage: Eukaryota; Viridiplantae; Streptophyta; Magnoliopsida; Brassicales; Brassicaceae. The record is from RNAcentral.